This 4900-nucleotide long non-coding RNA is filed under the name Canis lupus familiaris (dog). RNAcentral's name for it is "lncRNA (ENSCAFG00000059096.1)". The record is from RNAcentral. Lineage: Eukaryota; Metazoa; Chordata; Mammalia; Carnivora; Canidae.
GCUAUUUUUGGGAGUGGCUCUGGAUCAUGGGAGGAUUGUAUCUUCUAUACCUCUUUGAGGAUACCUCUUGCAUCCACUGGGUUGGUUCAAUACUGCCAGGAAACUUGACAAGAGAUUAUAAAGAAUUUAAAGUAACUCUAUGAUCAGAAGUUAGCCAAACUGGAAGCUUGAUAGGAAGGUGGGUUUUUUUUAAGAUUUUAUUUAUUUAUUCGUGAGAGACACACAGAGGAGAGAGAGACAGACAGACAGACAGACAGACUCAAGCAGAGGGAAAAGCAGGCUCUACACGGGGAGCCCAACACAGGACUCGAACCCGGUCUCCAGGAUCACACCCUGGGCUGAAGGUGCAGAAUGACAACAUGAGUUCCCUGCUUGCUUCUUGUCAGUUCCAGUAACCACAGCUUGUGAGGUGAGUGCAGAGGGCACACUGGAAAGACACCAACAGUGUUUUGUUACCAAAGGUUUAUGAUGAUGAAUAAGAUUCUCAAAUCCUGUCUUAUUGCCAAGCUAUAGUUUUAACACUUAAAGAAAUGGCCCAAGCCUUUUUCAUUUCCCUGAUAUAUUGUCUGCUUGAACAGCCAUGUGGGGUUAAGAAGUUUUCCAUCUCCAUAGGCCUCAGUUUCCUUGACUAUAAACCAAAAGCUCUCUGAAGUCCCAUCCAAAAGUAACAUUCUAGAAGGGUCCUUGACUCCAGGCGCACACAAAAUCAACCAGGCACUUUGGCACAUGUGUGUGAAGUCCACUUUUUCCCACUGAAGGUCUUAGUCUUUGCUUUUUCAUCUUGCUUCUGGUAAUCAACAUUUCAAUAUUAAAGUCAGAGAAUUUACAAAUAUAACAGCUAAAAAAAAAAAAGAUACCUCUGAAUGAUAAAAUGCUUCCCAAUGAGUAUUUCUAACACCUCACAAUUUGUCCUGGAACUAGGUGGUGUCAGGGAACUUCUAAGAGCUACCAUAACCCCACCUACUGUACCCUCAUUGAAGAAGUCAAAAGGCUAGAAAGCAUUUCUCAGUACAGAUGUGCUAAACACUGUGCCAAGUACUGCACAGCCUCUCUCUCUCUCUCUCUCUCUCUCUCUCUCUCUCUCUCUGCAGCAUCCCAUCACAAGAAUUACAGCAUCCCAGGGUGGAAAAGAACUUGAAAAUUUGUCUCAUCUGACCACCUUCUGAUACAAGAAUGUCUUCUACAAUAUCCCCGCACCUACCCUGUGCUUAACACCUCCAGGAAUGCCCCCACUCACGAUCUCUAGAACUUACUAGUUUUUUCAUCUUUUCAUCAAGUGGCCAGGCCCACAGCUAAGUGCUACUAAUCCAACAAUGAACCCUGCUCUCAAAGAGUUUACGGUCUAGACAGAGGUACAGGUGAAUUAAUGAAUGCAAUGAAAUAUGAUAUUGAAAUAGUAAUCUUCAUGCUUUUCUUUCCCUAAUUUCCUUGAACAGCAUCCUUCCCCAAGUCAACCAAAGGUUUUCACAUAUCCUUGAUGAAAAUGAUGACUAUUCCAGCAGAAAUGCUAAUGGAUAGAAAUGAUUAGAACUCACUUUUGUGACGUCCAAUGCAGGCACCUGAAGCCCACAGCAGAAACAGCAAUUUUGAAAGACAAAAAAUGCUAAUGGAUAGAAAUGAUUAGAACUCACUUUUGUGACGUCCAAUGCAGGCACCUGAAGCCCACAGCAGAAACAGCAAUUUUGAAAGACAAAUAAUUUUGACUUAAAAUGUCUGGAUUCUGCCAAGAGAAAAGGUCCUUAAAAAUUAAGAGUCAGGGCCCCAAGACAGUAUGGUGGAGAAUGAUCUAACUCUAGGGCACAUCAGAAUCGCCUAGAGUACCUAUGAAAACACAGGUUGCUGGCAACCACCCUGUGUUACUGAUUCCGUAGGUCCGGGAUGAGUAGUAUCUGUACUGUUAGGACCCUCCUGGGUGACAUUGUUGCUGCUGCUCCAGGGAUCACACUUUGAAAUCCAUCUUGACAGUGAACUGGAAAGAAGAUGAUCCAGGUUCAGGUCUAGGAGAAACUAAGUGACCCCCACCUGGGCUGGGAAGAAAGGUGGGGAUGAACUAGAAGGGUCACACCUGGGCAAUAGCAGGGCUUGCUGAGAAGAGGGACUGGACUCAGGGGGUACUUUGGGCAAAGUGGAGUCAACACUGAGAAACUUUUCAUCAUCAUCCACCAAAAGCAUCAGGGGGGCUAGGAGAGAGCUAAGCCAAUGUCUGCAGAUCACCUGCUACCAUUUGAGCAAGCACUGCACAUCACUUGUGCAAAGGAUCCCGUUAACUGUUCUUCCCAUUGCUGCCCAGUUAGGACCCUCUACUGACUGCUACAUGCAUGACACCUUAAGACAGUCUGCUUUUCCCUGGACCAUCUGUAUUAGUUUUCUAGAGAAACCCUAAUCUAUAGAGACCCUAAUCUCUGCCUUCAUCUUUUGCAUGUCCUUUCCUCUUCUUGUAAGGACACCAGCCAUUAGAUUUAGGACUCAUCUAAUCCAGUAUGACUUCAUAUUAAUGUAAUUAAUUAUACCUGUCAGGAUUAUUUCCGAAGAGGAUCCCACUCCAAGUUUCCAGGUAUACAUCAAUUUGGGGGGACACUAUUCAAUCCACUACUGAACUGAAUCCAAUCAUUGAACUUCCCUUACCCCCUCUCCUUUUCAAAAGCUCAGGACACUCAUUGGUCCCUUGAAAUAGAAGGUGGGAUUUUUGACAAAUAGAAGACAGGCUCCAGAGAAGUGAUCCAGUUGCAGAAAAAUCCCCUAAACCUGCACUUUGGUGGGAGUGGUCAGUAAUAAAUCUCACUCAUUAUGAUAAUGUUGAUAGGUUAUUAUGAGGAAGGCAAGAUGCAAUGGGAACCCAGAAGGCAGGACCUGAACACAGACUUGAAUGUGAGGCAUGGUUUCCUAACAGUUAAAAGGUCUCAGGUGAGAUCUGAAGAAUGAGCAGAAAAUACUCAGCUGAAGAUCUGGGUGAGAAAAGAGACACCAGGGAAGAGUGUUCCAGUGGGGGAGACACCUGGACAAAGACCCAGAAGUAAGAGAAAAACACGAUUCAUUACCAGAGCUCAAGCACACUCAAGAUGGCUGGAUUGUAGAGUGGUACAUGGGGGUGGGAGGGAGAGCACCUAGGGUACUGAGGUGUGAGCCCAUGGCUUUUACUCUUCAAGUCACACAGAAUAAUCCUAGCCAUUCUUCAACUCAAAACUCCUUAUGUCCUUUUUUCAAAGUUAUUUAAACUCCAUUAGUUAACAUGUAGCUUAUCAUUAGUUUCUAAUGUAGAAUUUAGUGAUUCAUCCAUUGCAUAUAACAUCCAGUGCUCAUUACAUCAAGUGCCCUCCUUAAUACCUGUCACCCAGUUACCCCAAACCUCACCCACCUCCCCUUCAGCCACCCUCAGUUUGUUUCCUAGAGUUAAGAGUCUAUUAUGGUUUGUCUCCCUGAUUUUAACUUACUUUAUUUUUCCCUCCCUUCCCACACGAUCCUCUUGUUUCUUAAAUUCCACAUACGAGUGAAACCAUAUGAUAAUUGUCCUUCUCUGAUUGACUUAUUUUACUUAGCAUAAUGCCCUCCAGUUCUAUUCUCAUCGAUGUAAAUGGUAAGAUUUCAUCUUUUUGAUGGCUGAGUAAUGUUCCGGGAUAUAUAUAUAUAUCCCACAUCUUCUUUGUCUAUUCAUCUGUCAAUGGACAUCUGGGCUCUUCCUGUAGUUUGACUUUUGUAACUGCUGCUAUAAACAUUGAGGUGCAGGUGCCCUUUUGGAUCACAACAUUAGUGUUCUUUGGGUAAAUACCUAGUAGUGGAAUUGCUGGGUUUGGGGUAGCUCUAUUUUUAACUUCUUGAGGAACCAGAGUGGCUGCACCAGCUUGCCUUCCCUGAAGUGUACACACCAGAAGUGUACGAGGGUUCCCCUUCCUCCGCAUCCUCGCCAGCAUUUGUUGUUUCCUAACUUGUUCAUUUUAGCCAUAUGUCCUUUUAGUCCUUUAAAAACAGGUAUCUUGUUGUCCUUAAAUGUUCUCUUCUCCAAGUUAAAUACACCUAAUUUCUCCAAGGAUUUCUUGUAUACUUUAGAGUCCCAUCUCAAUCCUAACUAUCCUGGUUGAAGUCCUGCAAAUACGCUCCAGCUUGUCUAAAUCUCUCCAGGCAGAAUCCCCAAAUGGAAGAAAAUACUCCAACCCAACACCACAAGAUCCAUGUUUACUGAUGGCAGCUUUCCCUCCUAGACCUAGGAAUACAACUAAGGCAGGUCUUUGUGGCAGAGAUUGCUAACUGGACCUCAAUAUCCACCAUUACUGUCUUCCUUUUUACUAACAUAAGCUCCGUUCAAGGUUUAGCUAAGCACAUGGCUGCUCAACUAGAGAUUAAUAACUUUGUCUUCUUUGUACCUGACUGUGUGACUCCAUAGCCUAGUCAUGUGACUAAGUUCUGGUCCAUAUGAUUUUCUUAGCAAAGUCAUUUAUUCCAGUCUUCCUCCCUCCCUCCCUCCUCUCUUUCUCUCUGGAAAGAAAAACAACUGUAGCAGCAUCCUUGUGCUCAGAUGUGGAAGUCCCAUGUUGAAGAGAGCAGAAAAAAACAACCCACCUGGGUGUCUGGAUGACUUCUUGAGGCAGAGAGUACUCUACUCACCCUAAACAGCCCACCCAUCUCUGGACUGUUAGAUGAGGUAGAUGGAAAUUUCUAUAACCUUGGAGCCACUAUAAUGACUCCAGGAAUCAUCCCCAUGUGGACCCUACUGAUAUAUAUUACAUCUGGUAUAGAUGCAGGUUUAUGUGCUCAUCCAGAAAAUAUAUCAUCCCCAUGUGGACCCUACUGAUAUAUAUUACAUCUGGUAUAGAUGCAGGUUUAUGUGCUCAUCCAGAAAAUAUAUCAAGCAUCUACUAGAUGCCACACACUACGGAUUUGGUGGUAUCGUUAUUUCUGAAAUGGG